AGAUUGAACGCUGGCGGCAUGCCUUACACAUGCAAGUCGAACGGUAGAGUAGCAAUACUCGAGAGUGGCGAACGGGUGAGUAAUAUAUCGGAACGUGCCCAGUCGUGGGGGGAUAACGUAGAGAAAUUUACGCUAAUACCGCAUACGAUCUACGGAUGAAAGCGGAGGAUUCGCAAGAACCUCGCGCGAUUGGAGCGGCUGAUAUCAGAUUAGGUUGUUGGUGAGGUAAAAGCUACACCAAGCCGACGAUCUGUAGCUGGUUUGAGAGAACGACCAGCCACACGUGGGACUGACGACGACGGACCCAGACCUCGUGGCGGGAGCAGCAGGUGGGUAAUUUGGAACAAGUGGGACGAAAGCCUGACUCAGCAAUCGCCG
Molecule: ribosomal RNA, 378 nt
Filed under: uncultured soil bacterium
Lineage: Bacteria
Description: bacterial SSU rRNA
Rfam family: Bacterial small subunit ribosomal RNA
Source: RNAcentral